Molecule: ribosomal RNA, 253 nt
Filed under: uncultured bacterium
Lineage: Bacteria
Description: partial 16S ribosomal RNA
Rfam family: Bacterial small subunit ribosomal RNA
Source: RNAcentral
UACGUAGGGGGCAAGCGUUGUCCGGAUUUAUUGGGCGUAAAGAGCGUGUAGGCGGCCAUGUACGUCCGUUGUGAAAACUCGAGGCUCAACCUCGAGACGCCGAUGGAAACCAUGUGGCUAGAGUCCGGAAGAGGAGAGUGGAAUUCCUGGUGUAGCGGUGAAAUGCGCAGAUAUCAGGAAGAACACCCGUGGCUAAGGCGGCUCUCUAGUACGGUACUGACGCUGAGACGCGAAAGCGUGGGGAGCGAACAGG